RNAcentral lists this ribosomal RNA (991 nucleotides) under TM7 phylum sp. oral taxon 348. Its description in RNAcentral is "partial 23S ribosomal RNA". It matches the Rfam family "Bacterial large subunit ribosomal RNA", at positions 17 to 734 of the family's 2925-position model. Lineage: Bacteria; Candidatus Saccharimonadota. The record is from RNAcentral.
GCACAAAAUGGAUGCCUAGACAUAUACUACCGAUGAAGGACGUGGAAGGCUGCGAAAAGUCUCGGCUAGCUGUCAUCAAGCUGUGAACCGGGAAUGUCCGAAUGGGGAAACCCGCCGCGGGUCAUGCCGUGAGCAUCGUACGCUGAAUAAAAUAGGCGUAGUGAAAGGGAACCGUCUGAACUGAAACAUCUUAGUAGGGCGAGGAAAAGAGAGUAAAUAACGAUUCCGGGAGUAGUGGCGAGCGAAACUGGAAUAGCCCAAACCUUGUAUUGUUUUGUUCUCAUCAUCCGGACUGACAUAUCUACUUCGGUAGGUGAGUUGGUGUGGAUGGUGAGAACGAUAUGGCUGACAGGCUAAUGCAAUCAGGGUGUUGUGAGUCUACAGAGUUUUAAGAUCCAGCACUUCUAUACGGAGUGUUGAAUCUUAAAAGUGACGACUGUCAUCGAGCACAUAAGGUAAAAAAUCGGCGUGGUUAGCAGAACGAGUUGGAAAGCUUAGCCGGAGACUGUGAUAGCCAGGUAUGCGAAAACGACGCUGACCUUAUUCUGUAUUCUCGAGUAGGUCGGGGCACGAGAAACCCUGAUUGAAUCCGGCUGGACCACCAGCCAAGGCUAAAUAUAGUAUAUGAUCGAUAGUGAACUAGUACGGUGACGGAAAGGUGAAAAGAACCCCGGGAGGGGAGUGAAAUAGAACCUGAAAUUUUGUGCCUACAAGGAGUCGGAGCCGGGAUAAGGUAAAUCUACCUCAUCUGCUUUCCGAGAGGGAAAAGAGCAGCGAGCUUGGUUUUGCUUUAGCAAAACUCAGCUUUGCUGACGAGCGAUGAGAAAAACCGUAGGUUUGUCUCAUCCCGGUGACGGCGUGCUUUUUGUAGAACGAUCCAGCGAGUUAAUUUUUACGGCGAGGUUAAGUCAGAUGAUGAAGCCAUAGUGAAAGCGAGCAUUAACAGUGCGAUUUAGUCGUAAGGAUUAGACCCGAAACCAGGUGACCUUGA